GUGUGUGUGUAUGUGUGUGCGUGUCGACGUCCAGGAGAAAGAAGAACAAGGGUUCAGACCCUAGAUCAUGAAGAGCUUUAAUUGAAGGAAAAUUUGGAGCUUAAACAUAUGAUUGAACACGAAUUAAUGAUCACCCACGCACGGGGAUCAUGAGUGUAGGAGCCAUGUCAACAUGGAUACGAGCAUGGAAGGGCAAUGGGUCAAUGGUAAAUAAGGAAGCUAUGCACAAACUUGGACGCACGAGGUAAGUGACUUCCGACUCACUUAUUAGUAUGUGUAGGGGAUUAUUUAAUAAUUACGAAUGCGAGGAAAUCUUGUUUGAUUAAGUAGUAAUUGUAACUACUAAGGUAGGAAUGAUCAAUGGGGCUGAAAGUAGUUUGUUACGUCGGAACUAAAAUGGUGAAAUUAAACGGGUCGAAUAAUGGUAUGAAAGAUUUAUAAGUCUUUUCUUAUAAUUCAGUUUUUGAUGUCAGUUAGGAUGGUAAACGGAUCCGUAAUUAAAAUACAGACGCGUAGAAACAAGAAUUACUCAAAACGGACAUCUAGGUCAUAAGUUAUGUAAGUUUUAAGUUGAGAAUUGGUUAGAAUGCACAGCUGGGCAAAAAGUGCAGCAGCAAAAGGAAUGCUUCUGUCGAAAAGGGGCUGUCGCGCUACGCGAUAGCAAACCAACUUUACCGCCGCGCCCCGCGACCACUGUCGCGCCCCGCGACCGCCCGGGGUUGUAUCUGUCGCGCCCGCGAGAGCCAGUAAGCUGGCAAAACUUGUUUUUCUAGUUCAUUUCAGCACCCGGACUCGAUUGUAAACGCGUAUAUGAUUGUGAAUGAAUUCCUUAAAUAGUGGUUUUGUUAUAAAUGAAUGUUAUUGCUCUCCGGAUAGUAAAAGUAUGGGAUUACUCUCGUGUAAGUGAAGGAAAUUUAUAAGUAAACGUAUCUAGAAACAAGUAAGUGUGUAUGUCGAUAUGUAUAAUGCCUAUAUUAAGUAAAGUUACAAUUUUGACAUGAUAACAUAAGAGUAUGUGUGUAAAAGUAGUAAGCAAGAGCCCGUAACCGUGUAUGCACUCAUAUAGGUAAAUAAGAUUGUAUGGUCGUAUGUAGUAAUGUAUGUAUGUACGAAGGUGGGUUGUUAUGAAUGCACGUAGGAGUUGGGAAUAUAUACGUUUGUGAAUGCGAGAUGUUAUAAAUGUAUGAAGGAAUGGUUUCCUUAUGUUUGGGCAUUAACGAUUGCUAAUUGUAUGCUUUGAGAUUGAAAUGUAAUGCAGGUAUAAGAGCAUCGGGUUCAUGAGGUAUCAAAGUCGAACUCAGAACAAGAGAAUACGAAAGGAUAGUUGAAUGAAUCAAGUUUCUAUUGUUUAAUGUUAUUCAAUAUUAGACUAUAUGAGAAUCAUGUCGUAUGAUGUUGUUAACGGUUAAUGGUUAAGUUGUAUGUGAUGUCCACAGGUAUUAUACGGAUUUCUUCUAUCACAAACGAAGAGAAGCAGACAUGGAUCGAGUCGAGAGCAAGGAUUGUACGGAAAGAACAGUCACUUAGCUUUAUUUAUGUAACGCCUUAAAGUGUUAAUUAGAAGUGAAUUUUGUAUAUUUCUUUUAGUUAAUGCUUGACAUUUCGUAACUGAGCCUUUAUAUAAGCAAUGUGUCUAAUAAAGAAAGAAAUU
This 1651-nucleotide long non-coding RNA is filed under the name Helianthus annuus (common sunflower). Its description in RNAcentral is "hypothetical non coding rna". Lineage: Eukaryota; Viridiplantae; Streptophyta; Magnoliopsida; Asterales; Asteraceae. The record is from RNAcentral.